This 491-nucleotide ribosomal RNA is filed under the name uncultured Pseudomonadota bacterium. Its description in RNAcentral is "bacterial SSU rRNA". It matches the Rfam family "Bacterial small subunit ribosomal RNA", at positions 387 to 896 of the family's 1533-position model. The record is from RNAcentral. Lineage: Bacteria; Pseudomonadati; Pseudomonadota.
UCCAGCCAUGCCGCGUGAGUGAUGAAGGCCUUAGGGUUGUAAAGCUCUUUUAUCCGGGACGAUAAUGACGGUACCGGAGGAAUAAGCCCCGGCUAACUUCGUGCCAGCAGCCGCGGUAAUACGAAGGGGGCUAGCGUUGCUCGGAAUCACUGGGCGUAAAGGGCGCGUAGGCGGCGUUUUAAGUUGGGGGUGAAAGCCUGUGGCUCAACCACAGAAUUGCCUUCGAUACUGGGACGCUUGAGUGUGGUAGAGGUUGGUGGAACUGCGAGUGUAGAGGUGAAAUUCGUAGAUAUUCGCAAGAACACCGGUGGCGAAGGCGGCCAACUGGACCAUCACUGACGCUGAGGCGCGAAAGCGUGGGGAGCAAACAGGAUUAGAUACCCUGGUAGUCCACGCUGUAAACGAUGAAUGCCAGCCGUUGGGGGGCUUGCCUUUCAGUGGCGCAGCUAACGCUUUGAGCAUUCCGCCUGGGGAGUACGGUCGCAAGAUUA